AGUUGCUCUUUUGUUUUGCGGAUUGUAAAUAUAAAUAGGAGUAGAACAACCUCACCCCUACGUUUUUAAUAUUGCUGAAGAAAACUAUUGUUAUAUCAACUAACAUUUCUAACACUCGAAAUUUUAACUAUGAAAACAACUUCCGGAUUUUGGUUAUUCUUCAUUUUGUCAAUCACAUUUUACUUAUAUGCGAUUGACGCAUCCAGUUCUGACGGAGAAGAAAAGUUAACAAAAGAGGAAAUUUUACAAAAAUUAAACGAUGUCGUCGGUAAAUUUUCUGAAUGCAUCCAAUACCACGAAACAUGUAUGAAUUCUGGAGCUUGCACUAUGUUACAAUUGUGCAAUUCGCUGAAUGAGGGAAUAGUAACACCAUGUACUGGCAUUACUUUUGUAGAUACAUUUUUUUCAAGUCUUGGUAAAUAGAAGCUGCAGAAUUACAGAAAUAAUCCAUUUGUUAUCAUCGUUGAUUAGUUUUUAAUUCGUUUAUUAUACAAUUGUAGAAUGUUGAAUUUUUUGAAAUAAAUUAAUUUUUUAUAAAUAUGUG
RNAcentral lists this long non-coding RNA (544 nucleotides) under Androctonus crassicauda. Lineage: Eukaryota; Metazoa; Arthropoda; Arachnida; Scorpiones; Buthidae. The record is from RNAcentral.